CAGUCGCCGCGGGAAAACAGAGGGUGCAAGCGUUAAUCGGAAUUACUGGGCGUAAAGCGCGCGUAGGUGGUUUGUUAAGUUGGAUGUGAAAUCCCCGGGCUCAACCUGGGAACUGCAUUUGUGACUGGCAAGCUAGAGUGUGGCAGAGGGGGGUGGAAUUCCGCGUGUAGCAGUGAAAUGCGUAGAUAUGCGGAGGAACACCGAUGGCGAAGGCAGCCCCCUGGGCCAAUACUGACGCUUAUGCACGAAAGCGUGGGGAGCAAACAGGAUUAGAUACCCGAGUAGUCCCUGUCUCUUAUAC
RNAcentral lists this ribosomal RNA (301 nucleotides) under uncultured bacterium. Its description in RNAcentral is "partial 16S ribosomal RNA". It matches the Rfam family "Bacterial small subunit ribosomal RNA", at positions 509 to 807 of the family's 1533-position model. The record is from RNAcentral.